This 233-nucleotide long non-coding RNA is filed under the name Mytilus galloprovincialis (Mediterranean mussel). Lineage: Eukaryota; Metazoa; Mollusca; Bivalvia; Mytilida; Mytilidae. The record is from RNAcentral.
GAUGACACCUGCCAGUUGGACAUGUACACCUUACAGUCCUUCCAUACACCGAAUAUACUAGCCCUAUUGCUUAUAGUAUCUGAGAUAUGGACUUGACCAACAAAACUUAACCUUGUUCACUGAUCCAUGAAAUGAGGUCGAGGUCCAGUGAAAACUGUCUGACAGACACGAGGACCUUGCAAGGUACGCACAUAUCAAAUAUAGUUAUCCUAUUACUUAUAAUAAGAGAGAAU